This 520-nucleotide ribosomal RNA is filed under the name uncultured Glomus. RNAcentral's name for it is "SSU rRNA". It matches the Rfam family "Eukaryotic small subunit ribosomal RNA", at positions 569 to 1090 of the family's 1831-position model. Lineage: Eukaryota; Fungi; Glomeromycota; Glomeromycetes; Glomerales; Glomeraceae. The record is from RNAcentral.
AGCAGCCGCGGUAAUUCCAGCUCCAGUAGCGUAUAUUAAAGUUGUUGCAGUUAAAAAGCUCGUAGUUGAAUUUCGGGAUCAGUACGUUGGUCGUGCCUUGGUACGUACUGGCGUCACUGGUUCCUACCUUCUGACGAACCGUCAUGUCAUUAAUUUGGUGUGGCGGGGAAUCAGGGCUGUUACUUUGAAAAAAAUUAGAGUGUUUUAAAGCAGGCUCGCGCUUGAAUACAUUAGCAUGGAAUAAUGAAAUAGGACGUUCGAUCCUAUUUUGUUGGUUUCUAGGAUUGACGUAAUGAUUAAUAGGGAUAGUUGGGGGCAUUAGUAUUCAAUUGUCAGAGGUGAAAUUCUUGGAUUUAUUGAAGACUAACUACUGCGAAAGCAUUUGCCAAGGAUGUUUUCAUUAAUCAAGAACGAAAGUUAGGGGAUCGAAGACGAUCAGAUACCGUCGUAGUCUUAACCAUAAACUAUGCCGACUAGGGAUCGGAUGAUGUUAAUUUUUAAUGACUCAUUCGGCGCCUUA